Molecule: ribosomal RNA, 253 nt
Filed under: uncultured bacterium
Lineage: Bacteria
Description: partial 16S ribosomal RNA
Rfam family: Bacterial small subunit ribosomal RNA
Source: RNAcentral
UACGGAGGGUGCAAGCGUUAUCCGGAUUCACUGGGUUUAACGGGUGCGUAGGAGGGCAGGUAAGUCAGUGGUGAAAUCUCCGAGCUUAACUUGGAAACUGCCGUUGAUACUAUCUGUCUUGAAUAUUGUGGAGGUGAGCGGAAUAUGUCAUGUAGCGGUGAAAUGCUUAGAUAUGACACAGAACACCGAUUGCGAAGGCAGCUCACUAAAUUGUAACUGACGCUGAGGCACGAAAGCGUGGGGAUCAAACAGG